GUGAGGAAUAUUGGUCAAUGGGCGAGAGCCUGAACCAGCCAAGUCGCGUGAAGGAAGAAGGAUCUAUGGUUCGUAAACUUCUUUUGCAGGGGAAUAAAGUGCAGGACGUGUCCUGUUUUGUAUGUACCCUGAGAAUAAGGAUCGGCUAACUCCGUGCCAGCAGCCGCGGUAAUACGGAGGAUCCGAGCGUUAUCCGGAUUUAUUGGGUUUAAAGGGUGCGUAGGUGGUUUGAUAAGUCAGCGGUGAAAGUUUGCAGCUUAACUGUAAAAAUGCCGUUGAAACUGUCGGACUUGAGUGUAAAUGAGGUAGGCUGAAUGCGUGGUGUAGCGGUGAAAUGCAUAGAUAUCACGCAGAACUCCGAUUGCGAAGGCAGCUUACUAAGCUACAACUGACACUGAAGCACGAAAGCGUGGGGAUCAAACAGGAUUAGAUACCCGGGUAGUCC
RNAcentral lists this ribosomal RNA (445 nucleotides) under uncultured bacterium. RNAcentral's name for it is "partial 16S ribosomal RNA". It matches the Rfam family "Bacterial small subunit ribosomal RNA", at positions 354 to 796 of the family's 1533-position model. The record is from RNAcentral.